AUUGAACGCUGGCGGCGUGCCUAAUACAUGCAAGUCGAACGCAUUGAGAGAAGUGCUUGCACUUUUCAAUUUGAGUGGCGAACGGGUGAGUAACACGUGGGCAACCUACCUGAUAGCGGGGGAUAACGAGUGGAAACAUUCGCUAAUACCGCAUAACAAUAGAGAAGGCAUCUUCUUUAUUUAAAAGGCGCUUUCAAGCGUCACUAUCAGAUGGGCCCGCGGUGCAUUAGUUAGCUGGUGGGGUGAAGGCCUACCAAGACGAUGAUGCAUAGCCGAGUUGAGAGACUGAUCGGCCACAUUGGGACUGAGACACGGCCCGAACUCCUACGGGAGGCUGCAGUAGGGAAUCUUCCACAAUGGACGAAAGUCUGAUGGAGCAACGCCGCGUGUGUGAUGAAGGCUUUCGGGUCGUAAAGCACUGUUGUAUGGGAAGAAAUGCUAGGCUAGGAAAUGAGCUUAGUUUGACGGUACCAUACCAGAAAGGGACGGCUAAAUACGUGCCAGCCGCCGCCGUAA
Molecule: ribosomal RNA, 516 nt
Filed under: uncultured bacterium
Lineage: Bacteria
Description: partial 16S ribosomal RNA
Rfam family: Bacterial small subunit ribosomal RNA
Source: RNAcentral